Pelobates cultripes (western spadefoot toad) is the source of this 232-nucleotide non-coding RNA. The record is from the annotation of a GenBank genome assembly. Lineage: Eukaryota; Metazoa; Chordata; Amphibia; Anura; Pelobatidae.
CUUAAUUCCUCAUCGGGACACAACUGUAUAUCCCAGAGGUGCAUUUGCUCCAUACCCAGAUCAUUGGGAGAUAUGGGACUGUUGGAUUGCUGUAAAAUCCACCCCACCACUAAGGAUUUUACACACUAUUCUGCACUUCAUGACCAAUAUGCCCGCAUCGAUUAACUCUUUAUUAAAUAGGAAGGCCUCUCACAAUUGCUGAAAGCCACAAUUAAACCCGCUAUGUGGUCAG